This 209-nucleotide ribosomal RNA is filed under the name uncultured bacterium. RNAcentral's name for it is "partial 16S ribosomal RNA". It matches the Rfam family "Bacterial small subunit ribosomal RNA", at positions 524 to 732 of the family's 1533-position model. The record is from RNAcentral.
UACGUAGGGUCCGAGCGUUGUCCGGAAUUACUGGGCGUAAAGAGCUCGUAGGUGGUUUGUCGCGUUGUUCGUGAAAACUCACAGCUUAACUGUGGGCGUGCGGGCGAUACGGGCAGACUUGAGUACUGCAGGGGAGACUGGAAUUCCUGGUGUAGCGGUGAAAUGCGCAGAUAUCAGGAGGAACACCGGUGGCGAAGGCGGGUCUCUGG